RNAcentral lists this ribosomal RNA (254 nucleotides) under uncultured bacterium. RNAcentral's name for it is "partial 16S ribosomal RNA". It matches the Rfam family "Bacterial small subunit ribosomal RNA", at positions 524 to 776 of the family's 1533-position model. The record is from RNAcentral.
UACGUAGGCAGCGAGCGUUGUUCGGAGUUACUGGGCGUAAAGGGUGUGUAGGCGGUUGUUUAAGUUUGGUGUGAAAUCUCCCGGCUCAAUUGGGAGGGUGCGCCGAAUACUGAAUGACUUCGAGUGCGGGAGAGGAGAGUGGAAUUCCUGGUGUAGCGGUGAAAUGCGUAGAUAUCAGGAGGAACACCGGUGGUGUAGACGGCUCUCUGGACCGUAACUGACGCUGAGACACGAAAGCGUGGGUAGCAAACAGG